RNAcentral lists this long non-coding RNA (568 nucleotides) under Calidris pugnax (ruff). Its description in RNAcentral is "lncRNA (ENSCPUG00000003241.1)". The record is from RNAcentral. Lineage: Eukaryota; Metazoa; Chordata; Aves; Charadriiformes; Scolopacidae.
GCAUUAGCAAAAACUUCCAAGCAAGUAACCAUACAAAAUAAUAACCAGGUAAUUCUAACUGGUUACAUCAAAUUGUUGUUAUUAAGCAAUGGCUUUUCUCUUCCUCUUUUUUUUUUUUUUUUUUUUUUUUUUUUUAAUCCCUGUGCCCCUGUGCCAGUUAAUUUAAAUGUAUCUGUUCAAGUGGAGAUAAUCCAUGCAAAUCAGAGGCACUGGCUCCCAGUGCUUGAUUCACAAAGAGAACUCAGCUUCAGGAGGUCACUCGUUCACAGCUGCUCCUCCCAUUAUAUUUUUCCCUUAUUGCAGAACUGCUGCAUGUAUACAGUGACUGAAAGGACUCAAUUUACUGCAACUGCUGCCUGGUUUUACUUACAACUUUCUUUAAAGGGGGAUUUACCUUCUAUCAGUCUUACUAAGGUGACGGCACUCUAGGGACAUCACUUCACCUGAAGCUGGGCACAAUGAGACCUAAUCUUGGGUAAGAGACCCUUAAGAGAUUGGAGGUCCUACUGUGACAGACUUAAUUUGGCUGCUGCUUCAUCACUGUUUCCUUUUAUUCAUUCCUUAAAGC